This 222-nucleotide long non-coding RNA is filed under the name Elaeis guineensis (African oil palm). RNAcentral's name for it is "long non-coding RNA (EGUI_LNC010903)". The record is from RNAcentral. Lineage: Eukaryota; Viridiplantae; Streptophyta; Magnoliopsida; Arecales; Arecaceae.
AUGGGCAUAAUGCCAUACUAAGCCACAGCUCUCUCUCUCAUUGUUCUAAAAGAUCAGACUGACUUAGGUCUUGAAGGGUCCUUCAUUGGAGUAUCCUCCCUUUGGCAUGGGUGGAAUUCUUUUGUCGAUCUACUGCAAUAUCUCGGUAUUUUUUUGGUCGACGUCUCUUCUCCACUGGAUCAGCACGUCUUGGAGCUUUGACGCACCACAACAUAUCAGCAG